This 367-nucleotide ribosomal RNA is filed under the name uncultured organism. RNAcentral describes it as "bacterial LSU rRNA". It matches the Rfam family "Bacterial large subunit ribosomal RNA", at positions 2099 to 2465 of the family's 2925-position model. The record is from RNAcentral.
CUUUACUGCAGCUUGACAUUGAACUUUGAUCUUACUUGUGUAGGAUAGGUGGGAGGCUUUGAAACCGAGACGCUAGUUUCGGUGGAGCCAAUCUUGAAAUACCACCCUGGUAAUAUUGAGGUUCUAACUCUGUCCCGUUAUCCGGGACGAGGACCAUGUCUGGUGGGUAGUUUGACUGGGGCGGUCUCCUCCUAAAGAGUAACGGAGGAGUACGAAGGUGCGCUCAGCGUGGUCGGAAAUCACGCGUAGAGUAUAAAGGCAAAAGCGCGCUUAACUGCGAGACCCACAAGUCGAGCAGGUACGAAAGUAGGUCUUAGUGAUCCGGUGGUUCUGUAUAGAAGGGCCAUCGCUCAACGGAUAAAAGGUA